UAGGAUUCCCUUAGUAGCUGCGAGCGAACAGGGAAAAGCCCAGCACCGAAUCUUGCGGCCGGUAACGGUCGCCGAGAAAUGUGGUGUUAGGGAGGAUCCGUUAUCUCGAGGUAAUACGGUGCGUCCAAGUCCUUCUUGAACGGGGCCACAGCCCAUAGAGGGUGCCAGGCCCGUAGCGACUGCCGUUUACAGCGAGAGGGUCUCUCCUCAGAGUCGGGUUGCUUGAGAGUGCAGCCCUAAGUGGGUGGUAAACUCCAUCUAAGGCUAAAUAUGACCACGAGACCGAUAGCGAACAAGUACCGUGAGGGAAAGUUGAAAAGCACUUUGAAGAGAGAGUUCAAGAGUACGUGAAACCGUUUAGGGGUAAACCUGAGAAACCCGAAAGGUCGAAAGGAGAAAUUCAUUCGCGUUUCGGCCGGCGGUGACGGGCGUUAGAGUGACGUCGAGCUUCGUGCGAGACGCGCCUUUCGUUCGUCUUACCGUUGUCGAACGCGUGCACUUUUCUCCUAGUAGGACGUCGCGAUCCGUUGGGUGCGGGUAUAAGGCCUCCGGUGGAGUCCUCGAGUCGUUUCGUAUUCGAGAACCCGGGGUGUCCCUACCUGCUCGCUCGACGGUAUAAUGAUGGCGCGGAGCCGCUACCYGUUAGCGUUCGGCCCGCGGCAAGCAAGUCGGGUGUGUCGGCCUCCGGACCUAGCGCCGGUUCUGACCCCCGGCUACUGUUGGCCGCGGUGUUCUCGGACAGACUCCGUACACGCCGAUCGGCGACGCUUUAGCUUUGGGUACUUUCAGGACCCGUCUUGAAACACGGACCAAGGAGUCUAGCAUGUGCGCGAGUCAUUGGGACAUAACUAAACCUAAAGGCGCAAUGAAAGUAAAAGUUUGCCUCGCGCAAACCUAGGGAAGAUAGGCGGUUUGCCCUUAAAAGUGGCCGCCUCGCACUCCCGGGGCGUCUCGUUCUCAUCGCGAGAUGAGGCGCACCAAGAGCGUACACGCUGGGACCCGAAAGAUGGUGAACUAUGCCUGGUCAGGACGAAGUCAGGGGAAACCCUGAUGGAGGUCCGUAGCGAUUCUGACGUGCAAAUCGAUCGUCGGAACUGGGUAUAGGGGCGAAAGACUAAUCGAACCAUCUAGUAGCUGGUUCCCUCCGAAGUUUCCCUCAGGAUAGCUGGCGCUCGUAGCGCACGAGUCUCAUCCGGUAAAGCGAAUGAUUAGAGGCAUUGGGGUCGAAACGACCUCAACCUAUUCUCAAACUUUAAAUGGGUGAGAUCUCCGGCUUGCUCGAACUCAUGAAGCCGCGAGACACGGAUCAGAG
This 1312-nucleotide ribosomal RNA is filed under the name Rhynchitini gen. sp. DDM0063. RNAcentral's name for it is "eukaryotic LSU rRNA". It matches the Rfam family "Eukaryotic large subunit ribosomal RNA", at positions 70 to 1119 of the family's 3401-position model. The record is from RNAcentral. Lineage: Eukaryota; Metazoa; Arthropoda; Insecta; Coleoptera; Attelabidae.